Molecule: non-coding RNA, 397 nt
Organism: Xyrichtys novacula (pearly razorfish)
Lineage: Eukaryota; Metazoa; Chordata; Actinopteri; Labriformes; Labridae
Source: the annotation of a GenBank genome assembly
UUCAGUCAACUCGUUCAUCCGUCUGGGUCUUUCGUUCACUCGGUCUUUCGUUCAACUCGUUCAUCCGUCUGGAUCUUUCGUUCACUCGGUCUUUCGUUCAACUCGUUCAUCGGUCUGGGUCUUUCGUUCACUCGGUCCGUCGUUCAACUCGUUCAUCGGUCUGGGUCUUUCGUUCACUCGGUCUUUCGUUCAACUCGUUCAUCGGUCUGGAUCUUUCGUUCAACUCGGUCUUUCGUUCAUUUGACCCGUUCUUUCAGUCAACUAGGUCUUUCGUUCAUUUGACCCGUUCUUUCAGUCAACUAGGUCUUUCGUUCAUUUGACCCGUUCUUUCAGUCAACUAGGUCUUUCGUUCAUUUGACCCGUUCUUUCAGUCAACUCGGUCAUUCCGGUCUUUCAG